Non-coding RNA from Odocoileus virginianus texanus, 5394 nucleotides. The record is from RefSeq and is a predicted model, not a curated record. Lineage: Eukaryota; Metazoa; Chordata; Mammalia; Artiodactyla; Cervidae.
AUGGCCGACUGGGUCGGAUCGUGCUCUGCGGGCCGCAAAGCCCGGCGUCCCCGGGCCCCCCGAGCCGUCGCAGUUGUAGGUACCAAGCGGACAAGUGCCUUGAACCAAGAAGAUGCUUCUCAAAGGAAAGCAGAACUAGAAGCAGCUGUCAGAAAGAAGAUUGAGUUUGAGAGAAAAGCUCUACAUAUUGUGGAACAACUUUUAGAAGAGAAUAUUUCUGAAGAAUUCCUAAGGGAGUGUGGGAAAUUCAUCACACCUGCUCACUAUAAUGAUGUCGUGGAUGAGCGUUCUAUUAUCAAACUCUGUGGCUAUCCUUUAUGUCAGAACAAGCUAGGAAUUGUACCAAAACAGAAAUACAAAAUUUCUACCAAAGCUAAUAAAGUCUAUGAUAUUACUGAAAGAAAGUGUUUUUGCAGCAAUUUUUGUUAUAAAGCAUCUAAAUUUUUUGAAGCACAAAUUCCUAAAAGUCCAGUGUGGGUUCGCGAGGAAGAAAGACAUCCUGAUUUUCAGCUGCUACAGGAAGGACAAAGUGGUCCUUCUGGAGAAGAAAUACAGUUAUGCAGCAAAGCCAUUAAAACAUCAGAUAUUGACAAUCCUGGCCAUUUUGAGAAGCAUUAUGAAUCUAGUUCUUCUAGCACUCAUAGUGAUAGUAGCAGUGAUAAUGAGCAAGACUUUGUUUCCUCCAUUCUACCAGGAAACAGACCAAAUGCAACGAGUAUAAGGCCACAGCUGCACAAAAAAAGCAUGAUGAAAAAGAAAGCUGGUCAAAAAGUUAACUCUCAACGUGAAAGCAAAGAGCAAACAGUAGUAGAUGUCAUUGAGCAGUUAGGCAAUUGCAGAUUAGAUAAUCAGGAGAAAGCUACGGCUUGUGAACUUCCUUUGCAGAAAGCAAAUACACAGAUUUCUUCAAAUAGUUCUCUGCAAGAAAAAUUAGAAGCUUCAGAAAUUUCUGAUAUUAAAUACAGUAGUUCAAAAGUAACUCUUGUAGGCAUAAGUAAGAAAAGUGCUGAGCAUUUUAAGAGGAAAUUUGCCAAAUCAAACCAAGUUUCUGGGUCAGCUUCCAGUUCAUUGCAGGUAUGCCCUGAAAUUGCAAAGGCAAACUUACUUAAAGCCCUGAAGGAGACUUUGAUUGAGUGGAAGACAGAAGAAACUUUGAGGUUUUUGUAUGGCCAGAAUUAUGCAUCUGUAUGUCUAAAAUCCUCCUCAACCCCUCUGGUUAAAGAAGAACUUGAUGAAGAUGAUACAAACUCUGACCCAUAUAGUCAUUCCCCUGCCUUGCAGGAGUUGAACAGCUUGGAUGAGUCUUUACCAUUUAGAGCCUCAGAUACAGCCAUUAAACCACUGCCAAGUUAUGAGAACUUGAAAAAAGAAACUGAAACAUUAAAUUUAAGGAUCAGGGAGUUUUAUAGAGGACGAUAUGUUUUGAAUGAAGAAACCACCAAAUCACAAGACUCAGAAGAGCAUGAUCCCACCUUUCCACUGAUAGAUUCAAGUUCUCAGAACCAGAUCAGAAAACGCAUCGUACUUGAAAAAUUGAAUAAAGUAUUGCCUGGACUUUUGGGACCUCUUCAGAUUACAUUAGGAGAUAUUUACACACAACUUAAAAAUCUUGUCCAGACUUUCAGAUUAACAAAUAGAAAUAUUAUACAUAAACCUGCAGAGUGGACCUUAAUUGCUUUGGUGUUGCUGUCAAUACUGACCUCAACUCUUGGCAUUCAGAAGCUUUCUCAGGAAAAUGUGAUGUCUACACAGUUCAUGACCACCCUGCUUGAAGAAUUGCAUUUAAAAAAUGAAGACCUUGAAAGUUUAACCAUCAUAUUUAGAACCAGCUGUUAACCAGAAUGGGUCAUCUGAGGAGCACUUUAAAAUCUGCCCAGAAGAUGAAAACCUGUGCAUGAUUUACCACAAGCCAGAAGUUCCACACCUAAUGAACAGGCAAAACCCAGCCCAUUGUCAACAGAGAAAAAUCUAUCUCAAACACAAAAGAUUUUAAAUCAAAAUGGAUGUUAGAUGAGCAGGAUUCCUAGUAUUGCUGGGCAGCCAGGGCUGUCUCCAACAGCUGACAAGAUGAUUAUUUACUGUGUCAGCAAUAAACUUUAAAUUAUCAAUAUAUACUGAAGAUAAGAUCCAGCUUCUUAAUCAAUUCAACAAACAUUAGUUGAAGACUCAGGAUGUAUUGGACCUGAGCCAAGCUGCUCAAAAAACACUUGCCCUUUGAGUCUAAAUUAUAAGGGGUGAUCUUGAUUGACUGAAAGUUUUUUCACCCUUUGCUAUCACCACUUCUAUCCCUGGGGGUAACCAUGGUUAAUAAUUUGGAGUAUAUGCCUAAAAACCUUUUUCAGUGCACACCAUAUAUUCUUUUUGACAAACAUAGUUUUAAAAAUUACUUUCUAAAUUCCACACUAGCAUCUUUCUAUGUUAGUAUAGGAAGAACUACCUUUUGUUUGAAGUUACAAAAUUGUUUGAAGUUACAAAGUAGUUCAAAGUAAAGGUACUCCAUUAUUUAUUUAUUUAGCCAUUUUAUCACUGAUGUAUAUUUAAACUGCCUACCAUGUUUUUUGCACAACUACAAAAAUGACACAACAAAAAUCCUUGAAUAUUUAUCCUUGUAAGCUCCUGCAAGUAUUUCUGAAGCAUGAAUACCUAAAAGUGAAAUUACUAGAUCAUGUCAUACACUUUGAAUUUAUGCUACUUAACUGUAUUUUAUAAUCCAUGUGUGCUACCUUAAAUCUUUCCUGAAACAAUGUGUUUAUGUGUUUAUACACAGAGUGGGGAUUUUACUUUCAAAAGACACAAAACUGAAAGAGGGAACUUUGUCUUUUUAGGAAGCCCACAGAACUGGAAGUGGGUCAGGAAUGUUUGGUGGAGGCAGGGUAGACUGAGGGAUUUUAUUCUUUGUGUUGCUCAAUCUCCUUUUAACCUUUUUUCUUAUUUAGACAAUAGAAAACGAUUUUGGACAACUGCCUAUAGCUUGUACCAACAGAUAAAAAGACAUUCUUACUGGUGAAGCUGCCCACCAACAAAAUGGAGAUCCCCUAGAAGCUUCCCACUAUAGGAACUGUCCAAGCUGAGGUGAAAUAGCCCAUAAGAGAGGCCACACAUUGUGCUGGUUAAAAACACAGACCCAGGAGUCAGGAUGUCUAGAUUUGAGUCCUGGUUCUGAUACUUAGCUGAAAGACAUUGGGCACAUUACUUAAUCCUUUUAUGCCCCAGUUUCUUCAUCAGUAAAACAGGAAUAAUAACAGUACCUUCCUGAUAGAGUUGUUAUGCAUCAUUCAUUCUCUCCAUGUUUAAAAAUAUCUUUCAAAAGAAAGGAGGAGGAAAUUCACUUUCUAAGAUUAUAUACCUUAUAUCAGUUUUUUAAAAAUCCCCAUAGAAGUUAAGUCACCCAAGAUGGGGUUGGGAGAGAAAAGGUCUUGAGGGUAAGGCACUGAUGAAGAAUUCUGGCUCCCAAUCCCUCAGAAGUGGGUGAAUUCCAGAGUUGUUUGGAGAGCAACAUCAUAACAAGGAAACCAGCAAAACACAGGACUUGGAGAGACCAUCGUGAGAGAAUAUUCAAAGCAAUUUUAGGAAAUUCUCUGGAGGGAAACAGCAAGUUAAGCAUCCUAUCUCAUCACGGUGAAGUGGAAAGAAAACCGGAUGGCAGUCAGAGAAUGGAGUUUUGGUUCUAAAUCUAACACUUGUGCCACCUUGGUCAACUAACUUCACCUGUCUGAGCCUCAUUUUCUUAAAACAAAAUUACUCUGUACCUUACUCUCUUCUGCUGUCAAAAUCUUUGAUUCUCGCAAUCAUUAACCAAAUUUAGGAGACAUUUGAUAGUCACGGCCCUCACAUUAAGGCAAAUGAAAUGCUGUAGUAUAUAGUCUUUUCAUUAAGGAGGUCAGACAAGGAAAUCCUGGAAGGCUGAGGUGUGGAAUUGGGUGCUCACUGAGGGAUGUUCUCUAGGGAAUAAUAUGGCUUAGUUGCCUUUCAAAGUCACAGAACCAUAGACUGCCAAAACUGGAAUGUAUCCAGUCUCAUCUUCUCAUUCUGCAGAUAACAGGAGGCUCAGAAAAGUUCAGUGACCUGGCCAAGGUCAUUUAGCAAUAUGGCAGAGCGAAGAUUAGACCUCAACCCUCUUAACAGGUCAGAGUUUUUCCCACUAUCCCUGCUGUCUGUAAAUGUGAGGCCACAAGGGCCUAGCACAUAGUAAGUAUUCACUUAGAUAUGAUUUUUAGUUAAACAGUAUGUUGCACAUAAGCAGGGCUGGGGCUAAGGUAAGGCAAAGGAGGUACUUUGUCACUUAAAUUGUCACUUAAAUUGUCAGGUGCCAAUUUAAAGGGGGAACACAAAAAACUCAGCAUUCAAAACAUAAUAUUUUAAUGCACUAUCUAAAAAAUUAAAAAUCCAUGAACAAAACACACAAUAUCAAAAUUCUAAAGACAGACAGAAUUGGACUCUGCACUUGUGCAAACCUGCCUCACCCAUCUCAUCCAACUGGAACUCUGGUUACAAUAAAAUUUUGUUUACAAAAGAAGGUGACUAGCCACAGCUAUAGUUUGCACAUUUGUUUAUAAUACUGCAUUAAAACAUUAUCUUGAUUUCUGAUCUUUUUGAUGUUCCCUUAAAUUUUGCACUUAUGGGGAAUGCCUCACUCUUUACACCCUAGUGUUGCCCCUGGGCAAGACAAGGAAUAUCCCUAUCCUCAGGUCCAGGGCAUACUAUACCUAAAAACCCAAGGUUUCCUGGCCUGGGGUGGAAGGCUCCCGCAAGGGAAUCUGGGAGAAGGAUGGGUUUUGAGGAUACACGAAUUUCCUCAGAUUAUAGUCAAGAUGUUGUGGCCACAAACCUUUCCCUGGGGAAAAGAUUUUUUUCCAUUUAAUUGGUUUAUUUGUUGUUAAUAAAUUGGCAACACAUGAAGUGAGGGUGUGCUCCCAGGCAGGCUCCUGGGUGCAGCGAGUCUCAGGACAGAGACACUACCUUGAGGCGUGGGCAGGACACAACCUGGCACCGCCAACCUGUGCCACAGGGAUGGAAGGAAAAGUCCCCCCACACACACACUUCUGGGGGAACCUCCUUGGGAUGAACACAGUGGAAACCCAGCAAACAGGCCUUAGUUUUCAUAGUCAUAAAAGGACCCCCAAAAGAUUAAGAAACCCUGCCACAGAAUGAGGGAAGAAGUCUGCUUCUGAUGUACAUCCACCCUACUCUCCUUAUCUUCCUGACUCCUCAUUUCUCCUUCAUUAUUCCUCCUGCAUUAAAUGCACCCCUUUGAGAAAAAAAGAUUUUCUCACCAAAGUGCAAAUGACUUGGUAAGACACAAAUCCCUAUUUGUUCAUUUCACUCAAAAGCCGAAUAGCACUGAAACAUGUAAUAUUAUCAUAUGUGAAAUAGAUCGCCAGUCCAGGUUUGACG